GACGAACGCUGGCGGCGUGCUUAACACAUGCAAGUCGAACGGAAAGACCCUGCUUUUGUGGGGUGCUCGAGUGGCGAACGGGUGAGUAACACGUGAGUAACCUGCCCUUGACUUUGGGAUAACUUCAGGAAACUGGGGCUAAUACCGGAUAGGAGCUCCUGCUGCAUGGUGGGGGUUGGAAAGUUUCGGCGGUUGGGGAUGGACUCGCGGCUUAUCAGCUUGUUGGUGGGGUAGUGGCUUACCAAGGCUUUGACGGGUAGCCGGCCUGAGAGGGUGACCGGCCACAUUGGGACUGAGAUACGGCCCAGACUCCUACGGGAGGCAGCAGUGGGGAAUAUUGCGCAAUGGGCGGAAGCCUGAUGCAGCAACGCCGCGUGCGGGAUGACGGCCUUCGGGUUGUAAACCGCCUUCGCCUGUGACGAAGCGUGAGUGACGGUAAUGGGUAAAGAAGCACCGGCUAACUACGUG
RNAcentral lists this ribosomal RNA (468 nucleotides) under uncultured bacterium. RNAcentral's name for it is "partial 16S ribosomal RNA". It matches the Rfam family "Bacterial small subunit ribosomal RNA", at positions 28 to 507 of the family's 1533-position model. The record is from RNAcentral.